AAGUCGUAACAAGGUUUCCGUAGGUGAACCUGCGGAAGGAUCAUUAUUGAUGUUACCAUCUAUAAACCACUGUGAACCACCGGGGAAACCCGCCUUUACAUACACACCAUUAAAAGUUAAAGUACAAAAAGCGUAAAAGCUUAAUAAAGUUAAUACAACUUUCAACAACGGAUCUCUUGGCUCUC
RNAcentral lists this unclassified non-coding RNA (185 nucleotides) under air metagenome. RNAcentral's name for it is "partial contains small subunit ribosomal RNA, internal transcribed spacer 1, and 5.8S ribosomal RNA". The stretch from base 1 to 46 matches the Rfam family "Eukaryotic small subunit ribosomal RNA", at positions 1786 to 1831 of the family's 1831-position model. The record is from RNAcentral.